Long non-coding RNA from Scleropages formosus (Asian bonytongue), 2499 nucleotides. The record is from Ensembl. NCBI's taxonomy places the organism in Eukaryota, Metazoa, Chordata, Actinopteri, Osteoglossiformes, Osteoglossidae.
CCGUUUUCACAGGUAAACAGUGUGUUAUCUCUGUACACACAUUCGACAUGCGAAAUCCUCUUAGAGCCCUGAACUGUGGUGUGAUAGAGCUGUGACUCUCUGCGCUUACAUGCAGCACGCCGCUGAAACACAUACAAAAGAUGCAAGUGAAUGUGCCUCAACAUGUGCGACACUGCUCCCCACCCCCUGCUUAAAGUGUACUUUUGUCUGUUGCCCCCACAUCCUUGUACCCCCCACCUCUGUCUCUGUCUGUCUCUCUCUCUUUCCCUCAGAGGGGCCGAGGAUCUCGCACCAUAGCAGGGUGGGGUCACAACCUGAUGGAGUUGCUGAAGGACCUCAGAUUCCAGCUGAGCUUUCUGAUGUAGUGGGAGGACUUCGACCCAUCAAGGAAGUCCUGUGUCCGGCAUCAGCCUCCACUGGUCUGAGAAGCCCCAGGGGUGGGGGUGGCCAAAAGAGACGAGAGGAGCGAAGGAACAGGGAGAGCAUUGCUUUGAUUUAUGGAGGCCUGGGCACUUGGAGGGGAGAGGUGGCAUGGGAAGACAAGGAAACCCUGGCCCCCCUCUGCUGUCCAUGGAGGGGGUCGUGGGGCGAGAAGCAAUGGGACAUCCUGAAAAUCUAGGCCCCCCGCCCUACACAAGUCCACGGGGGAGGAUGUGGAGCUACCAGUCGUCACCCUCGCACCCGAUGCCUUGCUCCCACCCGAGCGAUAACAGGGAGGCGACAGAGUAAACCAUUAAGGGUGACAGUUUCACUUUUCUCCCCUAAUUACUUGUUCCUGCCUAUUUGGCAUUUCUUAGAAAAAUUUGUUGAAUAAUGACCGGCAUUAAAAUGGAGGCUCUUAACAAUUUAUACGCGGCGGUUAAUUUAUCACAUGCUUUCCGUAUCUCCUCACUGGAUUUAUAUCCAAAGUGUCUUCGCCCCCUCGGAUUAUGACAAGCCGUCACUUUCUUAAGGGCGCAGUGUGUGCGGAGGACAGAUCGGCAUGCCGCGGUGGCGUUUAAUCACAGGCGUCGUGGGGACGACUCCUCGCCGCUGUUUGUUUAUUGUUGCCGCGCUCUCGGCACAAAGCAAUUAGUACUGAUUGCUCAACGUCAUGGUGCCGCUGCUCUGCCAUCCACUGUGCUGCAGACCCCCACUGGCGAAAUGUGGACGGUAACGGCCGUUUCGCUGGAUCCGUGUGCCUGUGGGCACCUGAAGUGUGUGCCCAUCUUCAGACGAGUCUAUUGCUCCAGUGUGUCAGGUGCCGUUGAUGGGGAUUCAAACUCGACGUGAAUUCCUCUUGGCCUGUGUGCGACCAUUUUAAUAUAGCAGUUAUGGAUGCCUGUUGAAUUUAUGUCCUAAAUUAAAGGUUUGGCCCCUUCAGGAUGUAUUUAGCUGCAGAGGAGCCCCAACCAAGAUGAUGGAGGUGGAGAACACCAGCUCCAUUCUCCUCUUCAACAUCAAUAAGAGCAUAGAGGUUCUAACCUCUGCUGGAUUCUGGAUGGGGCCAUGGUUCCUUGGUGGUUCAUGAAUGUCAUACCACACACACACACACACACACACACACACACACACACACACACACACACACACCAGACCAGGGACUUUGGGCUGCUCCUCUGCUCUGUGUUCUGAACUCUCUCCCGCCUUAUAAAAGUAUGCACACCUUUUAGCUAAGCAUUACAAUGAUUUAUGUAACUCGCCGGGCCGAGCAUCCUGAGAGCCACCUAAAGGCUCUCGUUUAUUGCCGUUGUUUUUAUUAUUACCUUUGGCUUUAUGCAGGUAAUUUACUGCGUGGUCUCUAGAGCAACUCGUGACGCCCGCUUGCUUCAAGGGCGUGAGCUUGUGUCUCUCGUUGCAUUGCAAUGAUUUGACAGGAAUGGUGAAAAUGUUCAGGGUUUCAGCUGGAAAAAAGUGACCAGAAAGCUGACAAACUGAUGUUUUGUAGUCCUGUCAUUAAAUGUGGACAAGCUGCCCUUCAAGGAAAAAACACAACACCUGCAUCUUUGGAAUCACAGCAUCUUGAGGGGCAAUUAUUGAUGCAUUCCCCCAAGUGACCACUUUUCCACGAUUUGGUUAAAUCCCCAUCCCUUAAGGAAAAGAGGUCUUGCUGCAUACAUUAUUGUCAGCUGGGAGUUAGACACUCCAGUGUGUGACCUAAUGAAAUUACAGGUACUCCUCUCUUAAGUGGAAGCCGCUGCCCUCUGUAAAAUGUUAUGUAAAUUGCAUGCAAAUGCAUGGAAAAUAUGACAGCCAGUACUGGAAAGUAUCAGAAUUUAAACAGGUUUUAAAAGUUAUCAUUGGGAUAAGCUUGGUGUAAAGGUCUUGCCAUUUUUUCACUUUCUACCUGAACAGACUGCAGCUUUAGGGAAGUUUGGGAAUUAGUUUGAGACCAACCUGUGUUUACAUAGUUUAGGUGUAAUCUACAUGCCAGAAUGAGUCACCAUGUCUCAAGCCAAAUUGUAGGUACAGGUUCUGUCACAUGACUGGAUCAAUAAAUCAAUGACAAAGAUUGGCUCA